UAUAUAGAGAGAGAGAGAGAGAGAGAGAGAGGAGAGAGAGAGAGAGAGAGUUUUGCUAGAAUACUAUCGGUAGUAAACGGCUCAGUUUACUACCGAUUUGUUUUCGAUGAUAGAGCUUCCAAAUUGAUGAUCGGCACCGUUAAACAUGAUCUAAACUAUUUAAACUAUUUGGAAAUUAAAUUUCACACAUUUUCGAUAUUGUUCUCUUGUCGAUCAAGUGAUAAGAAAAAUGAAUGGCUGGAAAUGAAUAUCCUUUAAAAAGUGAUGAUACAAUUUUUAUAUUUGAGAUCUAGAGUCUAGAUCUUAUUUUAAAUAGUUUAAAGAAUUUUUUAACAAAAAUUUAGUUAAUUUGAACUCUUCUAUACCGUUAAACGAGCAAACGCACCAUAUCGGCCGUUAAAAUUAUAGAUUUUGUGACUCUUUGAUCGUUCAGUUAGUGAUGCCAAAAAAUCAUGAAAUUUGAUUUCUAGAUAAUUUCAAUGGCCUAGAUCAUGUUCAACGGUGCCGAUCGUCGAUUUGGAAGCUCUAUCAUCAAAAACAAAUCAGUAGUAAACCGAACAGUUUACUACCGAUAGUAGCCCAGUCAAACUCUAUAUAUAUAUAUAUAGAGUCCGGCUGGGAUACUAUCAAUAGCACGAAGUAUUUGGUGCUAUCAAGUUUUCUGCCGUUAGAUUUACCUUUUUUAUCAUUUUCAUCCGUUCGAUUGUACNUCAUAUAUAUAUAUAUAUAUAUAUAUAUAUAUGAGUCCGGCUAUUAUGCUAUUAAUAGUACGAAGCACUUGGUGCUACCAAGUUUUCCACCGUUAGAUCUACCUUUUUGAUUUUUUUCACCCAUUAGAUCAUACUAUUCAACCAACCAUCCACUUAACCCUAGGGGGCCCACAUCAUCCUAACUGCGCAUCUUUUAAUCCAAUGGCCAAAAACAUGAUAACACCAAUGACUUGGUGCUAUUAAUAGCACAGUAACCUAGUUCUAUAUAUAUAUAUAUAUAUAUAUAUUGUAUUUAUCAGAUAAAAUUUUAAUUUUAUUAUAUUAAUCAUUAAAAAAUAGAUUUGAUUCAUAUGAUGAAGUUUU
This 1073-nucleotide long non-coding RNA is filed under the name Ananas comosus (pineapple). RNAcentral's name for it is "long non-coding RNA (ACOM_LNC032022)". Lineage: Eukaryota; Viridiplantae; Streptophyta; Magnoliopsida; Poales; Bromeliaceae. The record is from RNAcentral.